Molecule: ribosomal RNA, 500 nt
Filed under: uncultured bacterium
Lineage: Bacteria
Description: partial 16S ribosomal RNA
Rfam family: Bacterial small subunit ribosomal RNA
Source: RNAcentral
AUUGAACGCUGGCGGCAUGCCUUACACAUGCAAGUCGAACGGCAGCACGGGAGCAAUCCUGGUGGCGAGUGGCGAACGGGUGAGUAAUGUAUCGGAACGUGCCCAGUCGUGGGGGAUAACGCAGCGAAAGCUGUGCUAAUACCGCAUACGAUCUAUGGAUGAAAGCGGGGGAUCGCAAGACCUCGCGCGAUUGGAGCGGCCGAUAUCAGAUUAGGUAGUUGGUGGGGGAAAGGCCCACCAAGCCGACGAUCUGUAGCUGGUCUGAGAGGACGUCCAGCCACACUGGAACUGAGACACGGUCCAGACUCCUACGGGAGGCAGCAGUGGGGAAUUUUGGACAAUGGGCGCAAGCCUGAUCCAGCAAUGCCGCGUGCAGGAUGAAGGCCUUCGGGUUGUAAACUGCUUUUGUACGGAACGAAACGGUUCUCUCUAAUACAGGGGGCUAAUGACGGUACCGUAAGAAUAAGCACCGGCUAACUACGUGCCAGCCGCCGCAGUAA